UAUGAUACAGCAUACCUACAACAUACAUA
RNAcentral lists this small RNA (29 nucleotides) under Bombyx mori (domestic silkworm). RNAcentral describes it as "ovarian small RNA-6639". The record is from RNAcentral. Lineage: Eukaryota; Metazoa; Arthropoda; Insecta; Lepidoptera; Bombycidae.